Molecule: RNA transcript, 6999 nt
Organism: Populus nigra (black poplar)
Lineage: Eukaryota; Viridiplantae; Streptophyta; Magnoliopsida; Malpighiales; Salicaceae
Exons: 4
Source: RefSeq, a predicted model, not a curated record
AAUUCCAAUAAAAUCAAAUUUCCCUGCCAAAACAAAAAAAAUCAAAACCUCUUCCUCUCUCGAAUCUCGAUGGAGAAAGGAUUGAUAUUAGUUGACCGAUUUACCGAGUCAAGCCAGGCAUACUUCCUGACUCAUUUACACACGGACUACACUCAAGGCUUGACCUAAAAAUGGGGAAAAGGUCCUCUAUUUUGCUCCAAACUAACCGCUAAGCUCUUACCUUUCAAGUUCCCUGAUUUCAACCUCUCUCUACUUCGCGUUGUUGAUCUUCACAUCUGGCAUUCUUUCUCUCUCAUUUCUCCGACCACCGGAUCUCAAAUCACCGCUCAUGUCAUGGCUCUCAACGCCCACCAUUGCCCUGGAAUCGAUUUUGGAAAAAGAAAUCAUUACCUUCGGGAAAUCACUUUUUGGAUGGUUGGCUAUAGAGAUUUGAUGGGAUUGAACUGUAACUGGAGUUUGGAUGCUUGAUGUAUAAGGGGGAUUUUCGAUGGGAAGUUGAUAGCGAUAGGGCAAAGGAUGCGAGGAGUAGGCUACCUAAUGUUCUCAAGAAUGAGACGAUUGAUGUUGUUUACUUGGAUAAUACGUAUUGUAAUCCGUCUUAUGAUUUUCCCACUCGAGAAGUUGCUACUCAGCAGGUAGGAUUUACAUAUUUCUUGUUCACAUAACAAUUCUUUCUUUGAGUGUUUUUUGGUAGGUGUUGACGAUUAAUGUGCAUUGUAGAGAAUGUAUACCGGUUAAUAGGGAUGAAGCAUGGAUAAAGAGCUAAAUAUUAUUGGUGUUGAAAAUGAGAAAAUAUAAUGAGCAAUUGAUUGGUAUUUGUGUCUUAGGAAUGGUCAUGAAAGUAAGUUGAUUUAUUUUGUGUUUAUAGGCUUGGCAGAGAUUACAGUGCUUCAAAAUAGGAAACAAAUCAGUUAUACAACUUUUCUUACUUGUUUAAUUACUUGGUAAUGACAGGUUAUUGAUAUCAUUACUUCUCAUCUGGAGCAUGACAUCGUUAUUGGGAUUUAUACUUUGGGGAAAGAAGAGCUUCUAAUUCACAUUUCACGUGUGCUUAACAUAAAGAUUUAGGUGUGGCCAGAGCGUUUACAAACCAUGCAUCUUCUUGGAUUGAAACUUUAGAGUUUCAGCAUUAAAACUUCUCUAACAAGAGUCCGAACAGUUCCUCGUUACAGUUUCAGCAUUGAAACUUUAGAGGGAUUAAACACAAUGCGGCCAACAAUAGGAAUCAUGCCAUCUGGUUUUCCAUGGGUGCUGAAACCUGUUAAAGGAGAUGGCAAUCUUUUCGACUCUCUCUUAACUUCUCGUUACAAAAAAAGACAGCCAUCUAAUAAGCUGGACGGUAAUUUAGGAUAUGCUGAAAGGUAUCACCAUUACAUGUUUUCAGUUCCUUACUCUGAUCACUCAUGCUUUGCAGAGAUACAAUAGUUUAUUAAACUUGUCGAGCCAAUUAACAUGAAAGGUAUUGCGUCUUCAUCAUCUUGUUAUGUUGACCCACUUUAUUACUUCAGUCACCUUUGUGGUGUAAACCAACCACUAAAAAGGUUUGUCUACAAGAAUGAAAGGAAAGAGGGAGGUAAAAAAAGAAGUUGCGGUAUCUUAUUUUGAAAGUGGUAAUUCUCCCGAGGCAGGAAGGAAAAAAGCAGGCCAGUAGGAGUGGAUUAUAAAAGAGUUAAUGUAAGCAGAGCGAGUGCAUCAAGAAGAGUGCGCCGUGGAGCCAAAAUUAUGGAAAGUGACUGUUCAGAUUAAAAGUGUUAACUUUUGUAAUUAGGUGAGCCAAAAAAAAUACUUGUAGAAAUACUUGCAAUCAUGAUUGGGUGAGCCAAAAAAGUACUUGUACAAAUACUUGCAAUCGAGCAUAUAUCUGUAGAAUUUUGGUAUGGGUAUCACAUGGUACCAAGAGUUGCUGGAAAUGAUAAUUUGCCCUAUUUUCAGUAUCUCGAGUUUUACUGUGCUGUAGUUGAUGAACGUCAUCAUGAAUUAUCAAAUACGAGGAGUCCUUAUCUGAAUCUUAUUUAAAAUGAAAAUCACAAUCUAGUUUUUCAAGCAGCACAUACCACAAUAUCUGUGCUCAUUGCAAUUCUUGUUUCUAAUGGAUUUUUCCAAUUAUCUUGAUGGAACGUGUGGUUGAUGUACUUAAGAAACCGAACAAGUGGGAUACAUUGAUCCAAAUUCUUCAGGUAUUUUGUUAAUGCAAAACUUAUGGGAUUUUGUCUGCUUGUGCAACCCUUAUAGAUAUUUAAACUCUCUCAAUUAACAUCAUUAAGACACACUAACUGUGAGACUUUCAGUGCAUGCAUUCACCUAGCUUUAUAAGUGCUUUGCCUCAUCUCAUUCUGCAUGUCGAACUUUACAUUAUAAGUUAAAAAUGUUCAUUAGUAGUGUCAUGUAUUGAAGAUCAAGAAAUGGGUUGUAGCUUUGUUGGGUCCCUGUUAAGGUGACUUUGGUUUGACUGCAAAGUCACUUCUUCUUACGGUCGACAGUGGGCUAGAACUCAACAACGGUCCACCUUUGAAAUGAUGCCAAGAAAAAUGGCCUCCUAAGUUUGAAUUGGUGGUGAUUGUUGUAACCUAUUUUUGGGUCCCCGCACAAGAAAGGAGAAAAUACAAAAAAAAUAAAAAAAAUAAAAAAAUAAUAUAAAAGAAUAAAAAAAGGAGAAAAGAAAAAAAUCAAUAAAAAAUAUAUCAAAAAAUAAUAGCAGUGAAAAGAGGAUGUCAGAGCGCCCAGAAAAUGGUCAAAAAUUGGUUGAGAAGGUUCAAAAAUACAAAAAUAGAAAUUUAACAGUUUAUCAUUGACUGGUGAGAGCCCUGUUGAUGAAGAAAAUUUGAUUUGAGGAGGAAAAGUCUAAAAUCAGAUGUUUAUAGACUCAAUUGAAUUUAUUGAAGGUUUAAUUAAAUUUAUUGAGGGUUUGAUUGUAAGAAAAACUGAUUCUGAAGUCAAUUUGGGUUUUAAUUAGAAGAAAUUAAAGUGCUGGGUCAAAAUUAUAAUUUUUUAGAGUUGAUUUGGUCAAAUCAGGGGCUUAAUUGCAUAAAUAUAGAAGUUUGAUGGCCAAUUAGAGACUUGAUUGAAGAAAUCCAAAACCAAGGACUAAACUGAAAAGCACGCAAAUUGAAGGACUGACUUGAAAUCUAACACACUUUGGCGCCAGUUUCCACUUAAAUGAAACGGCGUGUUUUGGGGAAAACGACGCCGUUUCAUGCAUUUAAAAAAAAAAAAUAAACAAAACAGUGUCAUUUUUGGACAUGCAACAGGGGAAAAGAAGUUUUUGUUUUCUUCCUCUUGUUUCUUCCUCCCACGUGUUUUGUUAGAGCAAAAACCAAAUGCCACCCGUCUCAUGAUGAGAAGACAGAGAAGUCGUGCCCCGUAAGCGAUGCCUCCAUUGGCCACCUUUACUAGCGUUGUAACAAAGCAAAAGGCAUGUGCGCCCCAUGCAUGGGCAGCGAUGGGACAGGGCAGGGUCGACCCCGCUCCCCCCUGCCUCUAUAAAUACUGUCCUGAAAGGGAGAAACAGGGGAAAGAGGGAAAAAAGGGGAGAUAUUGGGAGAGAGUGACCGACAGUUUUUUGAAAGAGAAAAGAGAAGGAGAUCGAGAGAGAGACAGAAGGAUUUUUCAAGAGAGAAAACGAGGAGGAGGAGCGAAAAAAAAAGAGAGGGAAUGAACGUGAGACAAAAAGGAAGAAAACCAAACAGAAUAGAAGAGGGAAGCAUAACAAACAAAAAGGGGAGAAGAAUAUUGAAAGAGAAGGGAGAGGGGACAGAACAAAGAAGACAACAGAGAGGAAGGAGGGAAGAUUAGAAACAGGGGGAGAAGGAUUUUUGUUGUAAAAAACAAACAGACAAGCAGACGGAGGAGGAGAGUUUUCGGAGUAAAACAAAAAGGAAAUUUUGAGAAGAAAACCAGUGAGACAGGAGGAGAAACAGAGGGGGAGGACAGAAGAGGAGUAAGAAGAGGAGAGACAAAGGAGAGAAAGAGAAGAUAACGGGGAGGAAAAAAAAGGGCCUUUGUAUAGGGAAGAAGAAAAAACCGCAGUAGCACUGCAACACCACUGAGAAUGGUCACCAGCAUCACCAUCAGCUUAGCUACCCGAGAUCAUCACCUCAGGUAAUUCUCUUCCCCCUUAUAGUCACCGGUCAUUGUUCAUCUUCUUGCUUGCAGAACGUGCACUGUGCAUGUUCUACAUACAAGAAGAAUAAUUAGCUGGUUACUGUGCAUGCGCACAGUAACCGGCUAAUUAAUUAACGAGUUACUGUGCUCAUGCACAGUAACCAGUCCGUGGUUGCUGGGCUAAGUCCAGCCCUAUUGCUAUGGGCUGGAACAUCAGCCCAGCCUACGCGGCUGGGCUGAGUCCAGCCCUAUAGAAAGGAGGCCUGAUUUCACUUUUGGGCUGAUUUCUGCCUAGUCUCCUUUUAGGCUCGCCCGACCCAAAAGAAAUUUUUUAAAAUCAUUUUGGGAAAUUCAGGAUUUUCCCGCGUUUUUUUCUACAUCAUUUUGAUUAAUAUUGGUCUGUUUUUUUACAUCGUAAAGAUACAAAUUCAGUAUUAAAAUACCCGAUUUUCAAAAAAAUAUUUUUGUAUUCAUGCAUACGGCCAAGUCUUUCAAAGCUAAAAAAAAUCAUAUUUUAUUUUUAUACAACAAAGAAAACUUCCAAAAAUUAUAUAUUAUAUUUUAGCAUGCAUUUUGGCUUUAAUAACCAAAUUAUUAAAGUCAUGAGAACUUGACCAAUAUUUCAAAAAAACCAAAAAAAUAUAUUGUUUUUGUUUUAAUAUCUGGGAUUACGAAUUUAUACGUAAAGCGUAUUCCAGAUAUUAAAAAGAUAUUUUUUUAUAGACAUUAGAAUGGUUAGGUUUUACCCUAUAAGAUAAGAACCUCUUUACUGAGGAGGGCUUUUCUUGAACCAUAGAUGGACCAACAUGACAAGACCUUAGUUUUUUAUAAGACAAUAAAACAAUGCAGCUUACCUUAGGUAGGGUGUAUUUGGGGUACUAAUACUUCUCUUUACGUAACCAGUCUCCGUACCCGAUCUCUGAGACCAGUUAGGGUUCCUAGUGACCAAAAUACUAGGUGGCGACUCCCAUUCCAUUUUUUUUCACUGAUAAAAGACAAGAAUUCCUUGUAUUUUCAUAUUUGCCAAGAUAGACACUCAACACCUGAUGGGGGUGGUAGGCGAUCACUACGACGCCAUACAUGUGCGACAGUGAUUUUGUGUCUUGUUGCAAAAACCUGUGAGAAAUUCAUGGAAUUCUACGUAAUUUUCUUAGAAAAACUCAAAACUUCUGCUACCUUUUUGGUCAUGUUGAGCUGAUGGCAUCUUAGUUGUUUUCUGUCAAUACUGGCUCCAGCUAUUUGAAUAUGGCUGCUGUGCAUGCUAGUGCACUUACUCAUGUGUGAUCCUCUGUUGUUUGCACUUGUUCAUGUUGCUGAUUCCCUAGCUAGUUUCUUUGCUCAACUUUUGUCCUCUCAGUUGUUGUUUUGGCACAAAAAAACCUUAGAUGCUAAAGGAUGCAAAUGCAACCACAUACCCAGGACCACCGUUUUUUCUCUUACAUGUCCAUGGUAAUCCAUGUAGCCAUGAUACUCUGCCAUAGAUGGUGUGACAUAGUUGAUCUUUACACCAUGUAAUGGUAAAAAAUUCCAGAAAAAUCUUAUAUUAGGAAAUAUAAGAAAACUGCACGACUAACCAGGACUUUACCUUCACAAUGACCUAAAUAAGGGUUUCCUGCAAAGCCUGCCAUACUAAAACAUUGAAGUAUACUCACGUGGAGUGUUUAUUGAGCACUAUUAUAUAUUAUUCAUCAGAAUCAAAGCGACUGCCUUGUUUGAGACGUGCCGAUGCUACUGAUUAGUCUAAGUUUCUAGAAUCAAGUCAUACUUUUCUUUCUUGUUUGUUGUAUGUGUCUGAGACAUCAAGACUACAAACUGUGGUUAAACAGCUUGCAUAAUGUUCACGUGGAUAAAUAUUUCACACCUAUUUUCUGCAAGAGAAAUGCCAUCAAUGAAGCAGAGGACUAUGACAACAAAUUAUGUAACUAACAAAGUUCAGAAUAGACUAAAGGAGGAGGUAAGCGUUUAGGUUUUUAAGAAUCACUUUUCCAUACUCCCCUCUUCCUAGCAUUUACUUUUGAGCAUGUGCUGGUGCGUGCAUACACUUUCCAAGCAUGCAUAUAAUAAUAAGUAGAGUUAGGAUAUCCAGGUGAUGAAUAAUUUCUGAAGUGAAUUUAGAAUCUUCUAUUGUCUGUAUUUCUUUCAUGUCAUGUUCAAGCAUUUUGUAUCUGUUGUUCAAAAGAAAACAACCAUCAUGGAUAUCAGGUUUGGUGUUUCAGUAUAAUUUUUGCAUCUGUGGAUAAACAUUUUAGAUCCGUUUUCUGCAAGCAUAAUGCUAUGCAUCUAGAGGAAAGAAGAAAAAGAAGGAGAUAUCAGAUCAUAAGUGGCUUGUUUCACAAUGUUAGUUAUACCACUUUUAUAAGUGGCUUGUUUCAGGCAGGGAGAGUUUUGGAAGCAAUAGAGCUUUUCAAGGAUAUACGUGCCCAAAGCCAUUUCCCAGAUUUAAUGCAUGACCUACCCACUUUGUUUGACGGCUUAAGAAAACAAAGAUUUUGGAAGCUUAAAUAUGCAUUGGAGUUGUUUUCGAAACUCAGUCAAAGGGCUGCAGUUUGAUGCUCGGGUUUGGACUUUAGUAAUCAAUGGACUUUGCAGAGAGGGAUUGCUAGAUGAAGCUUACAAAGCUUUCAGACUAAUGGAAAAGGAUGGCCGCCCACCAGAUAAUUGUUCUUAUAAUGUUUUUAUCUGAGGAUUUCUCCAGCAUAAGGAUCCAAGGGCAGUGCAACUUAUAACCAGUGAGAUGAAAAGCCAAGGAUUCUUAGCAGAUGUGCAAACAACAAAGUUGGUGGUAGAUGAUGAUCAAGCCACCUGUUGUUACUAAUUUUUGGGUUCCCACACAAAAAUAAGAAAAUACAAAUAUAUAUAUUCAGAAGAAAUCCAAAAAAAUAAUUGGAGUGAGAAAAA